This 242-nucleotide long non-coding RNA is filed under the name Elaeis guineensis (African oil palm). RNAcentral's name for it is "long non-coding RNA (EGUI_LNC070923)". Lineage: Eukaryota; Viridiplantae; Streptophyta; Magnoliopsida; Arecales; Arecaceae. The record is from RNAcentral.
UAGAAGGGGAUAUCUAAGACCACAGCUGAUCCAACUGUGCCUCAAAUCACCGAAUCCCUGUGACAAAAGCUCUAACUGCCAUGCUGUGAUAUCAUAAUCUCCUCAUCCCUUCUAAGAAUUUUGGCAACCUCAGCUUUCACUUGACCGACCUCCUCAACUGUCCCAUGCUGUCUUUUCUCCAAUAUAUCUAUAUUUUGAGAUAAGAUGCUCAUCUACUGUAUGAGAGAAUCAAACUACCCCUC